UAUUAAAAAGUCAGCGAUUUACGGUGCGACGUUUGUGUUUCCGCAUAGCUCGCGAUCCAUAUCGUAUCGCUCGCUUCUACGGGAUAGAUUCCGUUUCUGUCUCCGUCUGUGGAUCUAUUCUGGAUCUACCAUUAGAUGGUAGCAGAGCCGACAGCGGUUCUCUGAUUUGAUUUGUGUCAGGCAAAGUUGGCCUGUCAUUGACGUGGAACCCGACCAGUAAGGCACAGGUCUGUACUCACAGCAAAGCGCAACACCACAAGCGGUGCAAUUCCUCCAUCUGACGUGGAUUUUCCAGCUUCGGUUUUCGGUACGGGAUCUUCAGCGAAGAACCGUACUGUUUCCUUAGCUGUGCAAGAGUUCAAGAGAGCAGUCGCCAGUGUUCCUCGGUGUAGAGUCUUCAGCGAAGACCUACACUGGUGUCAUUGGUACUCGGCAAGGAUUCAGCGAAUCCUAAGCCGUGGGGCAGAAGCGCCGAAACGCCGAAAGGGGCGUACGGAAAAGACCGAUCAGACUCCUCCAAACUGGAGUAGAGCGCCAUCACUGUUGCUACGGCAGUCAGCCGGCACAGUAACCUAUUAAAAGCGUGCGGCACCACCGUUACGGUAAAACCGGCGGCAGCGCGGGAACGGACAGUGGAGAAGAAAUUGGAUCAUCUGGAUCGUUUUCCCCGUGGAACGGACGGUUAACAGAUUGAAGCGGAAAAAUGGCACAGAAAGGUCAAGCCACUCCUAAACGUACGGGAACGGCGGCAGACAUCGAUCGGUUUACGGGCUACAAUCCAAAGUGUCCGGACUGUCUACGUAAUAACAAAAAGGUUGAUAAGAAAUUUCCGUGCUACGCAUGCAUUCACAAGCUGGAUGACCCACAUAUUGUCUCACUUGUUGGAGUCUCGGAAGCCAAACGCGGGAACCUGGAUGUCUUCCGCAAUCUGAUAAGCGCAAGGAAUUACGGCAGCAUCCCAGUGGAAGAGCGAAUGCUACUCGAGGAUCGCUACCGGGAAGCGAUCCGGAACAACGAACCUGGCUGGGAUGACACCUUGGAGCCGUUGAAGUGUCCACAUACAGACGCGUAUCGGAAGAAAUUCGAAGAGGACCAGGAGAAGAUGCGAGUUCAGCAAAUGGAAGACGAACUCCGCGCGAAAAUUAAUGCGGAAAAUAAGAGGGCAAGCGAACAGGCCGCACGAGAGGCGCUGUCCAGUACGUCGGGUUUAGCUGCACCCACGGGCAUGGCCAGCCUUAAUGAAGACGAAAUGCAACUCGUACGGCAGUCGCUCAUCAUUCAAAUUGAAACGUUAACGAAGGAUCCAGCUGCUAUGUCAGACGAGAUAUUCAAAAUGCUGUUGCGGGAGAAGAAACGAUUGCAAGACGGGUUCGCGCCGGCACCAUACAUAAAGAAGGAAGUCGAAAGACGUAUGGAUGACCUACGUAAAUCUCGCCGAACCGAAAGCGAUGUGCUGCAAGCACUCAGAAGCUUCAAACGGGAUGAAGGCUUCAUACGACCACGGUCGCCUCCGCAUAGAGAAAGGUCACGCGGACAUUCACGUGAACAUGAACGGACUUCUGAAAGACGGAGUGAAAGGUCACGUGAACACUCUCGUGAAAGGACACGUGAGUACCGUACUGAAAGGUCACGCGAACGCUCCCGCGACCGAGAUUACCGUGGCGGAAGAGGAUGGGUGCGCCACGGAGAUGAAAUAACUGAAAUGACCAUACAGCGGAAGAUUGAUACAGCCAAGAUUCUGGCAGCGACAAGGGAACGAGAAGAAAAACGGCGUGCGGAGACAUUCCGUACAGAACCUGAAAAGGAAGGGCAUCAGGUGCCGAUGGGAGUCGCAUUCCGGAAUCGCAAUGUCAGAAUGUCAACACCUGAAAGGUCAUGGGACAAAAGACGCGAACAAACGCGGAACCGAACACCCGACCCACAGGAUAAAAGAUGGCAACAGAGAGCUGCAUUCUACGCGACCUUUGACUCGGGCGCAAAUAAAAGGUCAUCAAGCACUGAACGGGAAGAUUCACCCCCAAAGUAUCAGCGGGUAGAGUCAAUGGUUCAUGUAGUGGAUCCAAUUGUGAGCGUCGUACAAGAAGACGAUGCGAUGGAAGGGACUAGCUCGAUUGCGGAAACGUCUCAAGAGAACGUGACCCAUCGACGAAAUGUAAUUCUGGAUAGUGACCUUCAACCGGAACAACCGGCGAGUAACGAACCGUCGCAGCCUGAGUCAGGAGAGCGACGGGAACCAGAAGGUCAACGAGAACCGGAUAAUCAUCGCCGGGCUGAUCAGCGACAGAACUCCAGAUUCGAUAACCGACAACCGGAUACCAUCGACAUGGAAUAUAAUACGACUGAUAUUGAUGAACAAACGGUCGAAAUUUGUCGAUACUUUGGACUUGAGCCGGAUUCGGUUGAAGCCAACAAAAUUGGCACAAUUUUGAGACAGCUGAGCCAAUUCUUACUUGAUUCAGGAUAUGCGAGAGAAAUCAAACAGGGAGUGGAACAAGGAACUUUCCGCCGGUUAUUCAUCCACCGCGACUCGGUACGGGACUGUUAUCUCCCUAUUCGACGGAAUGGACUACAUAGUUUGGUGGAUUUGAGUUUGUUGGAUGUACCGCUGGACACAACUGACCCAAUCGGGAUGACACAAUUUUAUUACACAGAUUAUCCCGAACGCCAAGAAUACGUGGCUCAGUUUGUUCUACGACAUGUGAACCCAGCUUUCAAGUUGCUUGCAGCAAGGGCGUCGAUAGGACUACAGGUGGAUCCUAAGGACUAUGCCGCAAAAAGGAUGGGGCAAAAGGUCUUUGCUGCGAGACUGGCACAUUAUAAGACACAAAAUCAAUUGGUGUCUAAUACCAUGAAAGACGACAUUCCACCGUUCUUCCGAGCUCAUGUCGCUAAAUUGGGACAACCGAUGGAACAUAUCAGCAUAGCGCAUACGGCUCGCAAGGCGCUGAAAAAGUGCAAGACACGAAUGGAAAAGGGCAACUUGAUACAGCGCCAUGCCUCCCAAGUUGAAGAAAGGGUCAACAAGAUCAAAGAUUCCCUGGGAAGUGACUACGUCGAACCAGUAGACGGAGUUGAAACGUACAUCGACGAUUUCCUGGUGAAGAAAAGCGACCGACGCCCGGAACGCGCGCCUAACCAGAUGGGACGACGCGGCAUCCGAAACCAACAGCUGCGGGAUAAUCUUGCCGACGUGCAGCGUCGAUUGGCGGAAGACCCUGAUAACCGCAGACUGCGACUCGAAGAGAAUGACGCACGCCAUCGACUUGAGGCGGUUAAGCGAAGUCGCCAAGGUAAAGGUCGUGGCCAGCGCGAAGUUGACCCGACAAAGGUCAUGGGAGUUGACUCGACGGAACCAGUUGACCGAACUUCCGACCGAAACCAACCGGAAAGCGCUAAGAAACGCCCGCCGAGAGAUGACGAGGGCGAUUCAAAUGAAAUGGAAUAGUGUUGACCUUUAUGAUCACACUAUUAAAAGGACGUCUACGGCAUUUGUCGGUACGUCACAAAGAUGAAAAUGGUGUUGUAUAAAGGACGUGACACGUGACAUGUUAACAUAAACUGUAUUUGUGUAUUUGUUGUUUGCAGCGUUUAUAGCACAGAAUUGCCUAAAAGAAAUCAUGUGGAGUAUCUAUUGGGGUUGAAAUUGAUUCGGUCUAUAAAGCCGGCCCCAAGGGAGUAGUUACGGCAGUUAGCCGGCUCUCCUCUCUAAGCGACUCAGUGUUAUAAAUGCACAAGAGAAACAACGGUAAUCAAGCCGGAUCUCUUGAAUACGAAACGGGGCCACAAGCGGCGAAAAAGAGAAAGACAACAGGUGGAAUAUUGAUGAGGUUAACUUAAUGCGGCAACCAGCCGGCCUCAUUAGAGUUGUUACGGUAAACUGCGCCGGCACUCUUUUCAGGCGAUUCAGUGUUAGAAUUAAAACGAGAAAAACUACGGUAACCAAGCCGGAUUUCUCGUAGUAAUGUUAGCCACAAGCGGCGAACAAGAGUAAAAGACUUAAGGUGGAAAUUUCAUGGGGUAAACUCAAUGCGGUAACUAGCCGGCCCCAUCAGAGAUGCUACGGUAAACUUGCCGGCACUCUGGCCGCUCGAGGCAUGUUGAAGUUGGAUGUGCGACGCAAAGGUCAAAUCAAGUCUUUACCAGGGAGGCAAGCAAAGAAGUGCUUGGAGCCGCAGAAAAUCGGCUAAGUUCCUCCAUGACCUUUAAAGGAAAUUUGCAGAGUGGGAUGACCUUUGGGACCAUUAACCCAAAUUGAGUCGCACAUCUCAACGGAUCAUCUUAACAAAGGAUGACCUUUACCAGGGAGGAAGCAAAUCAUGCUUGUCUUAAAGACGUCCCUCCAUGACCUUUAUGGAUCUCAUUUUGAAGUCGUACAAUCGAUACGCACUAUAUUCCAAAGAUGAAGCAGUAUUCCUAAGUCGUACUUGAUACGCACCCGAUUCUCAAAGCGGAUUGUGAUGGAAGUCGCAUUAUGGAUGCGCGAAGUUGCUCAACGGAGCGGAAUGGAUUAAAGUGCGGAAAACGGUGGACAGGACCUGUGACCUUUGCGAGUCAGAAAUGGAGGAUCCUAGUCUACAAUUUGAUUAAUACUUUUGUUGAUCUGUUACUGUUGAUCUGUUUUUGUAUUAAAAUUGAUAUGGAAUAGUAUUUUGAUACAGAUCUCUUUAUUUUCACAUAGUGCAUUUGGAAUUGAUGUGAUAAAUGGAAUAAGAGAAUUUGAUGUUUUUGAGCACGCACAGACACCGGCAACCGUCUUUUCGUGGAUUCGGGAGUGUGUCCAGCCUCAACGGAGCUCGGCAUCCCCCCAGAGGCAUGUGAGACGAGGCUCACUAGCGUUCACGCCCGUGGCGCUAGGCGCUACGCCUUCGGAUUACGGUCUGUGACGUGUCUCGCUUUGAUUGGCUUGAGUUGUGUUAGUGGGCGCGGCAUAGCACGUGCUGCACAGUGUUACACACUGUUGAAUGGGCUCCACGCUUUACGAUCGAGCUGCGCCGAUCAUUAUUGAUUUUUCUGUUCUCCAGACUUUUCAAUAUUAAAAAGUCAGCGAUUUACGGUGCGACGUUUGUGUUUCCGCAUAGCUCGCGAUCCAUAUCGUAUCGCUCGCUUCUACGGGAUAGAUUCCGUUUCUGUCUCCGUCUGUGGAUCUAUUCUGGAUCUACCAUUAGAGGUGCCUGAAAACACUGGUAUUGUCGCGGUGUGAUUUCAGCGAUUUCGACUGCUAUCUGCACGCGCACUUGGACUGCAUGAAUGCGGAAUUGUCGGCGCUGGCCGCGACGUGCAGUGCGGUGGUGUGGCGAGAUUGUGACAUGUCACUCUCGCAGACCAGCGCACACGUCGCCUAUGCGAAAUUCUGUUUGCGGGAUGCGCCCGCGCAGCGGUUGACGCAGUUGUGGGAUGUCUAUGAAAUGUCACUGGUGUCGCGUGCGAAAGUAGAUGUGGCGAAGCUGGCUGAAUGGGUGACCAAUGGUGUUAACACGCAAAGCAUUGCAGCCUGCAGCGGCAUCUUAUGGGCUUUGAACGAGUAUAUUGGUGCUGAUCCUCGUACGGUGCAGCACGGUGCAUUUAACAAAUGGACGCUGGAUACUCUGGUCAAUUUGGAUGUGUUUACACUGUCAAAAGUGGCGCAGUUUGCCUUUUACCACUAUGUCUAUCCCUGGCCCGCAGACGACAGCUGAAGAUUAUAGUCUCCUGUUACGACCUUUUAAAGAUGUUUUGUUUGGUGGAUUCUAAUCAGUACUGGAGUUUGACAGCAAACUGCAACAUCGCACUAAUUGUAUAAUAUCUGGCCUGCAUUGCAGUGUUUAUUCUGGACGAUUUGCACGUGAGCAGGCAGCACUUUAGUUUACUAAGUAAGGCCCGUAUUGGGUGUAACCAUUUGAGUUUUUUUCAGUUCUGAUAAUUACCUACGUGUCAACGCUUUCGUAUAGAUUUAUGUGCAGUAUAAGAUACGGCUUGCCGCUUCUGUUGUUAUGAUAGCGGGAAAAAAAUGAAGAGUAAC
Molecule: RNA transcript, 5998 nt
Organism: Paramacrobiotus metropolitanus
Lineage: Eukaryota; Metazoa; Tardigrada; Eutardigrada; Parachela; Macrobiotidae
Exons: 3
Source: RefSeq, a predicted model, not a curated record